UUUUGAGGGAGAUGGGGCGAUCUUCCGCAUAGCUAGGAUCGAGGAUCUUGCCGUGGAGUCAACUUUUUGUAAAUCGAGGAGAUUUUGUUUGCUUUAGCCCUAAACCCUAGGUGACGUUCUUUUAUCUUUCCACUGAUCUGGGAUUAAUUAGAACCAGAGUCAGGAUUCUUUCGCUGGGCGCUGUGUACGUUUGGAUGGGCAACUCACCCCGAACCUCUUAUCCAAACAUACAUGACCUUCUAUGGUUCAAAACACGGACCAGAGAGGAUUCGAACUCAUUAAAGCUAGGGAAUUUUUGAUCUCCAUGAACAUGUUUAAUUAUGCUGCAUUGGAAUAUUUUAAUCUUAA
This 348-nucleotide long non-coding RNA is filed under the name Phoenix dactylifera (date palm). Its description in RNAcentral is "long non-coding RNA (PDAC_LNC000603)". The record is from RNAcentral. Lineage: Eukaryota; Viridiplantae; Streptophyta; Magnoliopsida; Arecales; Arecaceae.